UGGGGAAUUUUGGACAAUGGGCGCAAGCCUGAUCCAGCAAUGCCGCGUGCAGGAUGAAGGCCUUCGGGUUGUAAACUGCUUUUGUACGGAGCGAAAAGGUCUGCCCUAAUACGGUGGGCUCAUGACGGUACCGUAAGAAUAAGCACCGGCUAACUACGUGCCAGCAGCCGCGGUAAUACGUAGGGUGCGAGCGUUAAUCGGAAUUACUGGGCGUAAAGCGUGCGCAGGCGGUUAUAUAAGACAGAUGCGAAAUCCCCGGGCUCAACCUGGGACCUGCAUUUGUGACUGUAUAGCUAGAGUACGGUAGAGGGGGAUGGAAUUCCACGUGUAGCAGUGAAAUGCGUAGAUAUGCGGAGGAACACCGAUGGCGAAGGCAAUCCCCUGGACCUGUACUGACGCUCAUGCACGAAAGCGUGGGGAGCAAACA
This 427-nucleotide ribosomal RNA is filed under the name uncultured bacterium. RNAcentral describes it as "bacterial SSU rRNA". It matches the Rfam family "Bacterial small subunit ribosomal RNA", at positions 355 to 774 of the family's 1533-position model. The record is from RNAcentral.